AAUCGCAGAGAUGGCUUGGUGCUCGAAAGAGACCGUAACACAGGUGCUGCAUGGCUGCUCGCCAUCUCGUGUCGUGAGAUGUUGGGUUAAGUCCCGCAACGAGCGCAACCCUUGUCAUUAGUUGCUACAUUUGGUUGGGCACUCUAAUGAGACUGCCGGUGACAAACCGGAGGAAGGUGGGGAUGACGUCAAGUCCUCAUGGCCCUUAUAGGUAGGGCUACACACGUCAUACAAUGGAUGGUACAGAGGGUCGCCAACCCGCGAGGGGGAGCUAAUCCCAUAAAACCAUUCGUAGUCCGGAUCGCAGUCUGCAACUCGACUGCGUGAAGUCGGAAUCGCUAGUAAUCGCGGAUCAGAAUGUCGCGGUGAAUACGUUCCCGGGUCUUGUACACACCGCCCGUCACACCAUGGGAGCGGGUUCUGCCAGAAGUAGUUAGCCUAACCGCAAGGAGGGCGAUUACCACGGCAGGGUUCGUGACUGGGGUGAAG
This 489-nucleotide ribosomal RNA is filed under the name uncultured bacterium. Its description in RNAcentral is "bacterial SSU rRNA". It matches the Rfam family "Bacterial small subunit ribosomal RNA", at positions 994 to 1485 of the family's 1533-position model. The record is from RNAcentral.